UACGAAGGGUGCAAACGUUGCUCGGAAUCAUUGGGCGUAAAGCGCACGUAGGCGGUUUAUCAAGUCGGAUGUGAAAUCCUUAGGCUCAACCAAAGAAGUGCAUUCGAAACUGAUAAACUUGAGUAUGGAAGAGGGUCGUGGAAUUCCCGGUGUAGAGGUGAAAUUCGUAGAGAUCGGGAGGAACAUCUGUGGCGAAGGCGACGACCUGGGCCAAUACUGACGCUGAGGUGCGAAAGCGUGGGGAGCAAACAGG
Molecule: ribosomal RNA, 253 nt
Filed under: uncultured bacterium
Lineage: Bacteria
Description: partial 16S ribosomal RNA
Rfam family: Bacterial small subunit ribosomal RNA
Source: RNAcentral